This 466-nucleotide ribosomal RNA is filed under the name uncultured bacterium. RNAcentral's name for it is "partial 16S ribosomal RNA". It matches the Rfam family "Bacterial small subunit ribosomal RNA", at positions 28 to 507 of the family's 1533-position model. The record is from RNAcentral.
GAUGAACGCUGGCGGCGUGCUUAACACAUGCAAGUCGAACGGAAAGGCCCAAGCUUGCUUGGGUACUCGAGUGGCGAACGGGUGAGUAACACGUGGGUGAUCUGCCCUGCACUUCGGGAUAAGCCUGGGAAACUGGGUCUAAUACCGGAUAGGACCACAUUUUGGAUGGUGUGGUGGAAAGUUUUUCGGUGUGGGAUGAGCUCGCGGCCUAUCAGCUUGUUGGUGGGGUAAUGGCCUACCAAGGCGUCGACGGGUAGCCGGCCUGAGAGGGUGUACGGCCACAUUGGGACUGAGAUACGGCCCAGACUCCUACGGGGGGCAGCAGUGGGGAAUAUUGCACAAUGGGCGCAAGCCUGAUGCAGCGACGCCGCGUGGGGGAUGACGGCCUUCGGGUUGUAAACUCCUUUCGCUAGGGACGAAGCGUUAUGUGACGGUACCUGGAGAAGAAGCACCGGCUAACUACGUG